UGAUAGAAGGCUAGAAACACCAGUG
RNAcentral lists this non-coding RNA (25 nucleotides) under Mus musculus (house mouse). The record is from RNAcentral. Lineage: Eukaryota; Metazoa; Chordata; Mammalia; Rodentia; Muridae.